Molecule: ribosomal RNA, 943 nt
Filed under: uncultured bacterium
Lineage: Bacteria
Description: bacterial SSU rRNA
Rfam family: Bacterial small subunit ribosomal RNA
Source: RNAcentral
AGAGUUUGAUCCUGGCUCAGGACGAACGCUGGCGGCGUGCCUAACACAUGCAAGUCGAACGGCCCGCCCCGACGGAUCCCUUCGGGGAGAAGACGGGUAACCGGGCAGUGGCGGACGGGUGAGUAACGCGUGGAGAACCUGUCUCUCAGUUGGGGAUAACCUGGCGAAAGUCGGGCCAAUCCCGAAUACGCUUUUGAUGUGGCAUCACAUUAUGAGGAAAGGUGCUUUCGGGCAUCGCUGAGAGGUGGCUCCGCGUCGGAUUAGCCAGCUGGUGGGGUAACGGCUCACCAGGGCAACGAUCCGUAGCUGGUCUGAGAGGAUGAUCAGCCACACUGGGACUGAGACACGGCCCAGACUCCUACGGGAGGCAGCAGUGGGGAAUCUUCCGCAAUGGGCGAAAGCCUGACGGAGCAACGCCGCGUGAACGAAGAAGGCCUUCGGGUCGUAAAGUUCUGUCCUCAGGGAAGAACCCUCAUGGGAGGAAAUGCCCAUGAGCUGACGGUACCUGGGAAGGAAGCCCUGGCUAACUACGUGCCAGCAGCCGCGGUAAUACGUAGAGGGCAAGCGUUGUCCGGAAUGACUGGGCGUAAAUGGUACGCAGGCGGAUAAGUAAGUCAAAUGUGAAAGGCACCGGCUCAACCGGUGAGCUGCAUUUGAAACUGCCUAUCUUGAGUUCAGGAGAGGAGAGCGGAAUUCCUGGUGUAGCGGUGGAAUGCGUAGAUAUCAGGAAGAACACCAGUGGCGAAAGCGGCUCUCUGGCCUGAAACUGACGCUCAUGUACGAAAGCUGGGGGAGCGAACGGGAUUAGAUACCCCGGUAGUCCCAGCCGUAAACGAUGGACACUAGGUGUUGGAGGUUCGAAUCCUUCAGUGCCGCAGUUAACGCAUUAAGUGUCCCGCCUGGGGAGUACGGUCGCAAGACUGAAACUCAAAGGAAUUGACGG